This 236-nucleotide long non-coding RNA is filed under the name Malus domestica (apple). Its description in RNAcentral is "long non-coding RNA (MDOM_LNC012120)". The record is from RNAcentral. Lineage: Eukaryota; Viridiplantae; Streptophyta; Magnoliopsida; Rosales; Rosaceae.
UCAAAGAAAAGUUCAGAGCACAAACCUGCCCGAAGGCAAUGCAAUCCGUUGAGGAAGCAGCAUAAGGUAGCGAUGCCUUCACCAGAUUUGUAUGAUAGCUGGACUUGGCCGGAUCCUGAAGCCAUUUGAUAAGUUUGGAAGAGGCGUGAUAAGAAGGUGACGAGGGCAGAAGAUAUGGAACAAAGAGGAGUCUGAAAUUUGGAAGAAAUAGAGUAUAUGGGAAGGUAGGAAAUUCU